This 362-nucleotide unclassified non-coding RNA is filed under the name Hevea brasiliensis (rubber tree). The record is from RNAcentral. Lineage: Eukaryota; Viridiplantae; Streptophyta; Magnoliopsida; Malpighiales; Euphorbiaceae.
CAUCCGAAUGAGACCGAUGGACUCCCCUCUUGCAUUUCCCUCUUCUUCAAGUUGACCUCCAUUUGAGUUAUGAAAGGGAAGCAUUAAUUAAUGGGUCAAAACCCAAAUCAGUGACAACAACUAAGUGGCGCAGUAAUAAAAAUUCAAACGGCUGGAAAUUGAAUUUUGGAUUUAAGAAUCCAAUUUGAUUAUUGCAGUAGUAGCAGCAGACCCAAGGGAACUGAAAUUGAAUCUUUGGACUUAAAUAAUUCCUACUUGAGUAAUCAGCAGCAGCAGGAGGAACCACAAAGGGGCCAAAGUGCCCUUUUCAUCCAGUUACUUUAUUUCAUUGUUUUUUUACUUUAUUUGUGAAUAUAUCUCGG